AACGCUGGCGGCGUGCCUCAGACAUGCAAGUCGAACGAUUAAAGCCCUCUUCGGAGGGUGCAUAAAGUGGCGCACGGGUGAGUAACACGUAAGUAAUCUACCUUCGAGUGGGGAAUAACGUUCGGAAACGAACGCUAAUACCGCAUAAUGCAGCGGCAUCGCAAGAUGACAGUUGUUAAAGAUUUUAUCGCUUGAAGAGGAGCUUGCGGCAGAUUAGCUAGUUGGUAAGGUAACGGCUUACCAAGGCGACGAUCUGUAUCCGGUCUAAGAGGACGGUCGGACACACUGACACUGAAUAACGGGUCAGACUCCUACGGGAGGCAGCAGUCGGGAAUUUUGGGCAAUGGGCGAAAGCCUGACCCAGCAACGCCGCGUGAAGGAUGAAGUAUUUCGGUAUGUAAACUUCGUAAGAAUGGGAAGAAUAAAUGACGGUACCAUUUGUAAG
This 445-nucleotide ribosomal RNA is filed under the name Acidobacteria bacterium REF-39. RNAcentral's name for it is "bacterial SSU rRNA". It matches the Rfam family "Bacterial small subunit ribosomal RNA", at positions 32 to 490 of the family's 1533-position model. The record is from RNAcentral. Lineage: Bacteria; Pseudomonadati; Acidobacteriota.